This is a long non-coding RNA of Homo sapiens (human), 3166 nucleotides long. RefSeq lists it as uncharacterized. The transcript has 3 exons. Lineage: Eukaryota; Metazoa; Chordata; Mammalia; Primates; Hominidae. The record is from RefSeq and is a predicted model, not a curated record.
UCCUCUGAUCAGAGUCUCAAAAGGUGGCUAUCAAGUUGUCGGUCAGAGCUGGGUUCUUGUACGAGGUCUCCUUUCAACCUCAUGUGGUUGUCAGACAACACUCAAUUCCUUGUAGUCGCAGGAUUUGUGGACUUGCUUCUUCAAAGCCAGCCACAGAGAAAGAACAGCAGGGAAGAUUGAGAAAGUCAGUCUCGUGAAGGACAUGUUUACUUUCCUUUCUGCCAUGAUUGAAAGUUUCCUGAAGCCUUCCCAGCCCUGUAGAACUGAAAAAGCACAAGGUUUAAGAAGGCCUGGAAGGGGAGACCUAGCAAGUUGCCAGUUGAGAAGAGUAAUGGUGUGACCUGGGUGACAGCCAGAUCAAGUUGUCUUAUCAGAGCAGCUGACAGAGAAAACAGCUGAACAGACUAAUCCAAAGCAAAGCCCUUACUGUUGCACUGCUAGCCAACCCAGGCAUACCCAAGUCAAUUAAUAAGCCUAAAGAUAAGGAGCAGGGUGAAAAUUUGGGCGCAAAUUGGAAGACAACUGGAGCAGGGCAGGAGGAAGAACAGAUUCCAUAGUGAUGGUUAUUCUGACCUGUGAUCUUUGUUGAACUGAACUGCUUUCUCUAGACACCAUUGUUACCAAAGGAAAUAACACGUUCUCAGUCUACCUUACUGCUUAUCGGUUGUGUGGGUCACAGGAAUUGGGGGUGAGGGACUGCUUUAAAGGAUCAGGAUCAGGGUGAACAAAAACUACUGAGGCUUCAGUGUCAGUUAUCCCAAAGCCCACAUCGAUUGUGUGAUUCUGUAAAUCCUAAACUAAAUAGGAGCAACCGUCUCUGAUAUUUAUUUUGUGCGACUGUCAACCUCAAAUGCCAUCCUGAAUUCUGUAUAUGACAGUCACCAGCCUGCCUGAUACCUCGUUGAUCGACUUUUCCCCAUGCUACCAAGCCAUGCCAGGUGGACAGAACAAUUCUCCAGGGAAGCCAAGAGCUAUCACUUCCUUUUUCUACCUAAUAUAUUUUGUCCCUGAUAAUCCAUUUGUCAUAUCUGACUUUCUCCUUCCUGCUGGCAGCAACCAGAGACCCUCUCAUUACACGACUGCCAGGUUUGCUUCAGCCUGAACUGCUGCAGAAUUAACUUGUCAUGUCCGCUCCACCAUGGGAACCUGUGGGGAGUCAGAGCCUCAAACAGCUGAAACACCGGAGGGAAAGAUUUCCUGCCUGUCUCACUUCCAUCUACAGCACCAUGGUGCACUCAUUAAGGCGUGGGUUGGAAGGUGCUAUAGACAGAUACGCGCACUGGGAGGAUGGAACCUGCUUUUGAACUUAAAACCAUGAAGACACGUGUUUGUAAGACAUUUUGCACCUUUCAAAAACAUUCUCAGAUGUGAACAGGCCAUAGGGAGGUGAUUAUUUCUCUUUUCACAGAGUUAGUUGCCAUGUUGCAGAGAAAUCUCUGAACUCUAAAUCAGGAGCAUCAGUUUAAGUAAUGUCUCUGCUACUAACCAAUUUAUCAAUCUAUGCAAAGUUACUUAACUUUUCCAAUCCGCAGCUUUUUCAGCUCCAAAAUGAAGGCAAUAAAACCAAUGUUAAAGGCACUUGAUUAAAUGAAGAUAUUAAAUGCUUUAUAAAUUUUGAAGUACUAUACACAUCGAUCCAUUAGGAUGAUUAUACUAUGAAAGCGCAGCUCAAGCUGCAAUGAAGCAUCAGAGAAGGCAGGUAGGGCAGUGGGUGCCCCGGAGUUCUGGUCUCUACUCCUUUUUCUCACUCUGUGGCCUGGGGUGAGUCAUUUAACUUUCUUGUGGAUCCAUUAUUUCAUUUAUAAAACGGAAAAUAAUAAAAACUAUUUUGAGAUUAAUUUUGAGGAUUACAUUAGAUAGUGCAGGUAAAGUAUUCUAGCACACAGGCUAGCAUACCAUAAACCUUCAACGAACAGUUCGCAUCAUCAUCAGUAUUAACUUCUGGUUAACUAAACAUCUGGACCAGAGUCCAUGAUUUCUGGUUUAGUGCUGCAGAAGUUUCUGUUAAUUUGAUGAACCUGACUUCAAACCACAGAAUAUUAGAACUAGGAGCACACGAUACCAUAGCUACCUUUCUGUUUCUACAGACAAGAGAUCUGGAGCUUACAUAAGAAAGCGAAUUGUUCAAGGUCAUAGAUGGAAUAGGAAAAGAGCUCAGACUUCAGCCCAGUUCUGGGCUCUCAGUCCAGUAUGCCUUCCACCAUCCCAUGGAGACAGAGACUCACAGAUCUUGGAACCGCAAAGACUGUGAGAGAUCAUCUAGCUCAUUCCAUCGCCCAUGGUGGAAGGAAGUCACAAUGCAGAGAAAGAAAAUGGCAUGGCAUGGUUACAUAGGGGCUGGAAGUCAUUUCAGUGUAUACAUAUCUUAACACACCAUACUGUACACCAUGAAUAUACCCAAUUUUUAUAUGUCAAUUAUGCUUUAAAGCUGGAAGAAAGGAGAAAAAAUAUAUAUAUGAUACACUUUGUCCGUCUGAUUCCAGAGCUUAAGGACAUAUUUACUCAGUUUCUAUUUUUCUCACUUGUGGAAACUCAGGCUUAGAGAGGCAAGUGAUUUUCCCAUGGUUUAACAGUGAUGAAGAGAAGAGCUGGCAGGACUGCCUAGUCCUCCCACUCCAAGUUCACAGCAAUUUCCAUCAGGUAGUAUUUCUCUUAUGCAACCUUCACGUGUAUACUUUCUGGCCAAGUCUUCCUUGGAUUUAACAUUCUGGGAUUCACAUACAAAGUGUUUGGAACAUUGGGACCAGGUCAUGGUGGACAGGGAUUAUGCUAUUCUGCCUACAUGAGAAGUAAGAGAAAUGGGGAAUAGGAUUUGGCAGGUGUCAGGCAACUAGACUGUCAAGGGAAUGAAAACUACUUCCUUUAAAACUGGUGUAAGGGGCUAGCUAUGCUUAGCUUGAAGAGUAGAGUCCUACCUUUGUGUGGCAAGGUAGGUUUCCAUGAAGUUUCCAUGAAACUUCUUUACAAAUUUUCUGAAAAAUGCCAGGUAGAAGAGGAAAUAGGUUAACAAACGUGUUAUUUGGAUUCUGGAGUCAGAGAGCCCUGGUUUUGAAUUCUGACUUUACUGCUUCAUAACCAUGAAAGCUUCCUCAAGUCAGCUGGCCUCAGAUUACCUACAUCUGUCGCACAUAAUCCAGUAUGAAUAAUGAUGCCCUUGUCCACCUGA